RNAcentral lists this long non-coding RNA (216 nucleotides) under Lathyrus oleraceus (garden pea). RNAcentral's name for it is "Pisum sativum (pea) long non-coding RNA (PSAT_LNC013264)". The record is from RNAcentral. Lineage: Eukaryota; Viridiplantae; Streptophyta; Magnoliopsida; Fabales; Fabaceae.
UUUGAGAGGCAAUCGGUGUUCCACAAUGUCCGUGUCGAGCCCUGGCAUGUCCUGAUAAGACCAAGCGAAGAUGUCGACGUACUCUUGCAACAGUUCAAUCAACCCCUUCUUCACAUCAUCUUCCAAAGUAACCCCUAUCUUGAUUUCUCUCUUGACGUCCUCGGUGCCAAGAUUAAUCACUUCAGUAGACUCUUGAUGCGGUUGAAUGACCCUUUC